This 2118-nucleotide ribosomal RNA is filed under the name Salmonella enterica. Its description in RNAcentral is "partial 23S ribosomal RNA". It matches the Rfam family "Bacterial large subunit ribosomal RNA". Lineage: Bacteria; Pseudomonadati; Pseudomonadota; Gammaproteobacteria; Enterobacterales; Enterobacteriaceae. The record is from RNAcentral. RNAcentral also lists the same sequence under 1 other name.
CGUUCAACCUCAAAAGAAGCAGAGGGGGCUUAGUGGUGGGGUGACUGCGUACCUUUUGUAUAAUGGGUCAGCGACUUAUAUUCUGUAGCAAGGUUAACUGUAUAGGGGAGCCGGAGGGAAACCGAGUCUUAACCGGGCGUUAAGUUGCAGGGUAUAGACCCGAAACCCGGUGAUCUAGCCAUGGGCAGGUUGAAGGUUGGGUAACACUAACUGGAGGACCGAACCGACUAAUGUUGAAAAAUUAGCGGAUGACCUGUGGCUGGGGGUGAAAGGCCAAUCAAACCGGGAGAUAGCUGGUUCUCCCCGAAAGCUAUUUAGGUAGCGCCUCGUGAAUUCAUCUCCGGGGGUAGAGCACUGUUUCGGCUAGGGGGCCAUCCCGGCUUACCAACCCGAUGCAAACUGCGAAUACCGGAGAAUGUUAUCACGGGAGACACACGGCGGGUGCUAAUGUCCGUCGUGAAGAGGGAAACAACCCAGACCGCCAGCUAAGGUCCCAAAGUCAUGGUUAAGUGGGAAACGAUGUGGGAAGGCCCAGACAGCCAGGAUGUUGGCUUAGAAGCAGCCAUCAUUUAAAGAAAGCGUAAUAGCUCACUGGUCGAGUCGGCCUGCGCGGAAGAUGUAACGGGGCUAAACCAUGCACCGAAGCUGCGGCAGCGACACCGUGUGUUGUUGGGUAGGGGAGCGUUCUGUAAGCCUGUGAAGGUGUGCUGUGAGGCAUGCUGGAGGUAUCAGAAGUGCGAAUGCUGACAUAAGUAACGAUAAAGCGGGUGAAAAGCCCGCUCGCCGGAAGACCAAGGGUUCCUGUCCAACGUUAAUCGGGGCAGGGUGAGUCGACCCCUAAGGCGAGGCCGAAAGGCGUAGUCGAUGGGAAACGGGUUAAUAUUCCCGUACUUGGUGUUACUGCGAAGGGGGGACGGAGAAGGCUAUGUUGGCCGGGCGACGGUUGUCCCGGUUUAAGCGUGUAGGUAUGUGUUCCAGGUAAAUCCGGUUCACUUUAACACUGAGGCGUGACGACGAGGCACUACGGUGCUGAAGCAACAAAUGCCCUGCUUCCAGGAAAAGCCUCUAAGCAUCAGGUAACAUCAAAUCGUACCCCAAACCGACACAGGUGGUCAGGUAGAGAAUACCAAGGCGCUUGAGAGAACUCGGGUGAAGGAACUAGGCAAAAUGGUGCCGUAACUUCGGGAGAAGGCACGCUGACACGUAGGUGAAGUGAUUUACUCACGGAGCUGAAGUCAGCCGAAGAUACCAGCUGGCUGCAACUGUUUAUUAAAAACACAGCACUGUGCAAACACGAAAGUGGACGUAUACGGUGUGACGCCUGCCCGGUGCCGGAAGGUUAAUUGAUGGGGUCAGCGCAAGCGAAGCUCCUGAUCGAAGCCCCGGUAAACGGCGGCCGUAACUAUAACGGUCCUAAGGUAGCGAAAUUCCUUGUCGGGUAAGUUCCGACCUGCACGAAUGGCGUAAUGAUGGCCAGGCUGUCUCCACCCGAGACUCAGUGAAAUUGAACUCGCUGUGAAGAUGCAGUGUACCCGCGGCAAGACGGAAAGACCCCGUGAACCUUUACUAUAGCUUGACACUGAACAUUGAGCCUUGAUGUGUAGGAUAGGUGGGAGGCUUUGAAGUGUGGACGCCAGUCUGCAUGGAGCCGACCUUGAAAUACCACCCUUUAAUGUUUGAUGUUCUAACGUGGACCCGUGAUCCGGGUUGCGGACAGUGUCUGGUGGGUAGUUUGACUGGGGCGGUCUCCUCCUAAAGAGUAACGGAGGAGCACGAAGGUUGGCUAAUCCUGGUCGGACAUCAGGAGGUUAGUGCAAUGGCAUAAGCCAGCUUGACUGCGAGCGUGACGGCGCGAGCAGGUGCGAAAGCAGGUCAUAGUGAUCCGGUGGUUCUGAAUGGAAGGGCCAUCGCUCAACGGAUAAAAGGUACUCCGGGGAUAACAGGCUGAUACCGCCCAAGAGUUCAUAUCGACGGCGGUGUUUGGCACCUCGAUGUCGGCUCAUCACAUCCUGGGGCUGAAGUAGGUCCCAAGGGUAUGGCUGUUCGCCAUUUAAAGUGGUACGCGAGCUGGGUUUAGAACGUCGUGAGACAGUUCGGUCCCUAUCUGCCGUGGGCGCU